CGGGCUGGACCAGCAGGUGAGCU
RNAcentral lists this non-coding RNA (23 nucleotides) under Cricetulus griseus (Chinese hamster). The record is from RNAcentral. Lineage: Eukaryota; Metazoa; Chordata; Mammalia; Rodentia; Cricetidae.